Molecule: ribosomal RNA, 301 nt
Filed under: uncultured bacterium
Lineage: Bacteria
Description: partial 16S ribosomal RNA
Rfam family: Bacterial small subunit ribosomal RNA
Source: RNAcentral
CAGCCGCCGCGGUAAUACGGAAGGUCCAGGCGUUAUCCGGAUUUAUUGGGUUUAAAGGGAGUGUAGGCGGUCUGUUAAGCGUGUUGUGAAAUUUAGGUGCUCAACAUCUAACUUGCAGCGCGAACUGGCGGACUUGAGUGCACGCAACGUAUGCGGAAUUCAUGGUGUAGCGGUGAAAUGCUUAGAUAUCAUGACGAACUCCGAUUGCGAAGGCAGCGUACGGGAGUGUUACUGACGCUUAAGCUCGAAGGUGCGGGUAUCGAACAGGAUUAGAUACCCCCGUAGUCCCUGUCUCUUAUAC